Molecule: unclassified non-coding RNA, 15630 nt
Filed under: Leishmania donovani
Lineage: Eukaryota; Euglenozoa; Kinetoplastea; Trypanosomatida; Trypanosomatidae
Description: gene:LdHU3.31.2210(CDS-product:hypothetical_prote in_conserved)
Source: RNAcentral
ACUCCCCCGUCCUUCUCAUCUUGCCCGGCCUCUUUUCUACAGGACGUAAAGUUCUCGAGUGUCCAGACAUUCUGAAAAAGGGCGAUUUCGCUUACCUGCUUCCUCGAGUCGGAAUAUCCAAACAUCACCAACAGCACACAUCGGCGCAGAAGCAUUGCCGCGAGGUGAACGGGAAGUUACAGCCGGCCCUCUCCCUGUUUUUUUUUUCCUGUGCUUGUUGUACGCAGGUGCGGAGGUGCUAUUUGCAGAGCAACAACCACCCUCCCAGGUUACAAACAUAACCAUAUUUCACUCUCUCUAUAUAUAUUUUUUUUUGAUUUUUUUUUCACGGUCAACACGGCGGUUUGCUGUGGUGCUUUUCUCGUUGGUAUCAACCCUCAGAUUUUUUUUUUCUGUGCGCAGUGCUACGCCACACUCACAACAUUUUCUCUUUUUUCCCCUUUUCGCCCUCGGCCCUUUGCUUUUUUGUUGUUGUUUCGUUUGUUGUUCAACCGCGAACGCGCUGACCCUCUCGUGUAGACGCGUGCUCCUUCAUCUCUAUAUCUGUUCCCCCCUCUCUGUCGAUUAGCCAUCGCACUAUUCUCGUAUUCUCAACGGUACCUCUUUUCUUUGCUUUUCCUUGUUUUGUUCUGAUUUUUAUUUCUACCCGUUCUUCCUCCCUUUUCCCUUCAUAUAGCGAAUUGAUUUCUCUUGCGUAUUUGCUCGAGCUCCUCUCCCCGGCUUGUGUGUACCAGCUUCGCUCAGCAGCGUCGAAGACCGGUACGCUGUUCAGCGAGGUGUUGUACGGUGUCUUUGGCUUUUUUUUGUGCCGUAACGGGGGUAUCUCUUUUUUUCUUGUAUUUUUUUUUACGUUGUACUUUUGUGUCGAGAAGAGUGUGAGCGUCUGUGCAGUUGCUGGCUUCGUGACUUUUUCUUCCCUCCGUUCACUGCUGAUUCUGGUGCACUGAGGUCUGUGCACCACUACGCACACAUUCAUGACGAGAGCACUGAAAAAGUGAAAAGACGGAGCUGCUUGCUUCGGUGGAAAGGAGGCGAAGAGACCGAUAAAUACGAGAAUUUUUCUUUCUUUUUUUUUUGCGUCCCUCCAACAGACUCUCUCGUACACACGCACACACGGCGGCUUUCUCUCGCACGUACUCAGCGUCGCGCACGAGUUGCUGCUUUAGCCUUUUCGUCUUUUUUCGUCUUUGCUUGUUCCCCCUCCUCUCCCCCACCGCGUCUAGCUCCGUAGUUGAUUGCUGCUUUCCUCGUCUCUGUUUUCUUCACACCUCUACAGCCCUCCUCCCUCCCCACAACACCCCCUCUGCGCAUAUCGGUUCGUGCGCGUUGCCGGUCUAUUACUCUUCGCUUAGUCUCUCUCUCUACCCCCUCUUCUCCCGCUUGCCUCCUCCCCGUGGACUUCCUUGGUGGGUACUCGUUUUACGCCUUGUCGUGUGAUUUUGUCGUUGUACGAGGCUCACAUGCGCGGACUCUGUUAUUGCGUUUGACGCUCUGUGUGUGUGUGUGUUUGGGGGGAGUGUGAGACUGCGCGCGUGCGCUGUUUCGUGUUGCUGUUUUGUUUAACACCCUUCUUAUAUCUCUUUCACUGCGUAGCCAGCGGAACGAAAGGCGAUCCACGCUCUCCACGGCAAACGAAAGCGAGGCCCUUCUCUCCCAUCACAUCCCCACCAACUCGGGUGUGGAUCUCACAAAACGAAAAAGAAACAUAAAACGACUGCUCGCGCACGCCACGCACAGACUAUCGCUCGCUUGCUCUCUCUCUUUUUCCUGUUUGUAUGGAGGUAUUUCUCUCCCUGCCAAACGUCUCUCUUCGUCGUCGUCGUCUCGUUGUCUUCCUCUCUCAUUUUCUUUUUCUUAGGCCUUGCGUCUGUGCUCGUGGGGCGUGCUCGUUGGCGUUUGCCUACCCCUCCCCUGCGGAGCGACACUGGCAACUCCUCGCCCCUCCUCUUCUCCAUCAUUGUGCAGUCGUGCAGCUUAUUCUCACCAGACUCAUUUUCGUUUUGGUACGCCUUUAUUAUAAUUUGUUGCCUCUCUCAUCAGAGCCUUUUUGUGCUGCACUGGUUGUUGCCACAUCUCCCGUACGGCCAAUCCUUUCUCUCUAUUUGUGGGCGUGCAUGUGUGCGUGUCUCCAACUCCCCCUGCUCUCCCUCGCCUCUUUCUUCUUUUUUUUUGUGUGCGUUUUGCCGUCGCCUUGUAGACGCUUCCGUUCCGAUUUUGCGGUCGCACUGCUUUGGCCUUUUUUGUGGUACUGUGCUUGUUUCCCUCUGUUGACUUAAAGCCACGUAGUCGUUGGCUGCACCGACGCGAAUAUAGAAAACACACCCACGCACACACGGAAACACGGACAGGCAGACAGACGCGUGCAUCAAUCAGCAAAGAAACACAGACGCAUCAAAAAAAUUUUACCCAAGUAAAUGAGUGCCGUAGAGACAUCGAGGUGAAAUCAUUUUGUAUUGUCCUCUUUUCCUGUUUCUUCCUCUUUUUUUUUCCGCGCCGUCUUCUGUCGUAGCUCCGACCUACCAUUGCUGCCGCCUCUCCGCCUCUCUUCCCUUUUCCUUGCGUGUGCAUCGGAUCGUUUUUCUUUUCCGGUUUCUUUUUGUUCCUGUUACUGGCCAGAUCGCCCCUCUUUUCUUUCUUUUCCACGCACCGUGACGCGUUUCGCUUCGUAUCUUGCUCGUUCUGCGUUUUUCUGUCCUCCCUCCUCUCCCCCUUUUUUCGCAGAGGUGACCGUGAACGUGAAACUGUUUAUCUUCCCUCAACUCUGUUGUGCCGGCCCUCUGCAUCUUCGGUUCUCUCCUUCUUAUCCCGCGUCGAUCUCUUUCAGAUAUUUCCCACGAGGCAAAAACACAUUUUCGCUCUGGCGCAGUUGUCUGGCUCUGUCGCUCUCUUUUCUCGUUGGCCCCCCUCCCUCCCUCCCCACCCCCGAGCCCCCUCUUCGCGCGCUGCGGAGCUUUCUCAGCUGAUUUGAAGGUCUGCGCUGGUGCGUGUCUCUGCGUACAUCUUCACUUCUCCCCUUUUUAGUCUUUGUUCAACUGCUGAGCUGAGCGUUCUUUGCGUUUUCUCUAGGUUGAGAAUGAGCUCGGCUGGACGCCAUACCCGCAUCAGUGGCCACAGGGGUCACAAGCACUCCCGCGCCGCCGGAAACGGAGCCGGCAUGGAGUCGUCUGCUCACUUCGACCCGCACUGCAGCGAGGACUUUAAUGAUUUAAGCCUGCUGCCGCUGUGCACGCAGAUUUCGCACAUGCGGUUUGAUGAUCCGUCCUCGUCAGAGACGUCCAUCAGUGCUGGUCGCGGUUCGGACUUUCCACACGCCCCUGGUGCCGCAACAUCUCUCACCUCUUUCAACACCGACAAAAACCAACCGAAACAACCGCUGCAGAUGCUGCCAACGCUGUCGUUUCAGAAUGUGCACAAUGCCAGUGCCGGUGCAGCUGAUACCUCACCAACGGACCAUGCAAAUGACCACAAAGACUGUCUCCAGCGCAAGGAAAAGCCAGAGUGUUCGCAGCAGGACUGUCACGCUAGCGGAGAUAUUCGCUCGCCGCCGUGGUCAACGAUGAACUACCCUCUGAGCAGUGUUGGCAGUCACAACGCCGCGCUAGCACCCUCGUCAUCGUCUCUGACAGCCUCGUGCUUUAGCGUCGGUCCCAACGGCGUCAGCGGAGGGUAUUCUGAUUUUACGGGAGGCGUUUCCGGGGCUGCGGGGUGCGGCGACGGCGCCUUGGCAGCGGCAGCGGUGUGGCCCGACUGCGGCAGUGGCGGAAGUGCGAGUUCGCCGCUGCAACGGGCACAUCCCAGCAGCAAUGUGGGAACUGCGAGCACUGGCGAUGACGGUGGCGGCAACGUCGCGAUCGCGGAUGGGAAUGGGUACGCCAUGCUGCAGCCGCAGCUUAUGCAGAUGCUCCUCCAGCAGCAGCAGGGCACUGCACCACCAAAUACCUUCAUGCCGUCCAGCUCUCCGAGGACGAACACACUGAGAGGGCUGAGGGAGUCGUCUACCGCUGGCAGUGCUCCGACGAUGCCCGCCAUCAGCGCCUGCCUGAUGCAGCUGAUGAGCGGAAACGGAGGCAACGAGGCUGAGCAGACGACUCCUAAUGCUCCACUGCAGCAGCUAUUCGUUCUUAACCCACUGCCACCGCCCUCGCCGUCUACUGAGCCGGCGCCACGAGCGCCUCAGAGCAACAGCAUCAUCGACGCAGAUAGUGUACCGACAGUGCUGUCGCUCGGCAACCCCGGCACCCGCAUCUUUUACGCCGAUGCCCAGAUACGAGGCAACACCACGGCCAAGUGCUUGGCGAGUACAAGGGCCAGAGGCUGCGGUAGCAACAACCCACCAGCAGCGCCGCCCGGAUCGCUGGGCCAGACAAGCCUUCACCCCAACCACUUUGGCUCACCGCCAACCCCGGCAGCGUCUAGGAAGGAUUCGGAUGGAGGAGCACACAUAAACACGCUUGUCCCGGCGGCUUUGCUGACCGCCAUGAAUCCGCUGCACCACGCCUUUUCUCCACCGUCUCCCUCUAGCGCGGCGACUCUGCCGAUGCUGUCGACUGGCAUGUACUCUCCUUUCACGGGUGCCGUGCCGCACUGUCAGGCCGGCUUCCCUCCGCCACCACCGCCGACGACUGCGCAGUCACAGCCGCCUCUUAAGCCAACGAAUCGUGCCGGCAAUCGGCAUGGAAGCCGAGGACACGGCACAGCGCCGGCCACCGGGAACCACAACACCUCCGCUGGCGGCAACGGCCGCAACCGUAGCCGGCGUCAGCAGGUAGGCGAGGACGGCCAUGCGAGCAGCCGGAAAGGCGCUGCCGCUCACGCCGCGGGCGAUGCACACGCCGAGCCCAAGAAUGGAGCAAACUUCGUCGUUGGUGCGUGGUACGAGGGCGUCGUAAAGCGCUACAAUCCGCUACGCGGCUUUGGCUUCUUAACUUGCACGCACCAGCUGCACCUCGACCUCCACGCCUGCGAGCGUGCCUGCACUCGCCACGCGGAUGCGGUGCACGAGAAGCAGCAACAGCGCGACCUGGAGAAAGCCGCGGCUGCCGCCACGUCCGGCACGAGCGCAACGUUGCAGUCCGUCAACGAGGGCGAACGGGAGCAAGCCGAGCAGCAGCUACGGUCGCUCUCGAGCAAGAGCGUGUCGCCCGCAGACGACACAGGCGCGGCGCCACUUUUGGCUUCGAUGGGCUCCGUCAAGGAGAGCAACAUCUGCUUACCGCAAAACUCGGUGGCCACCGAGGCCCACCGCGAGGGCGACACCGACGCAGCGGCGCCUGCUGCAACUACAGACACAACGAACGCGGAGGUCGCUGACGCUGCUGAUGCCACUCUCUCGCCCGCCACUGCCAUGACGUCGACUGGUAAGGCUCACGGCACCGUCGUGUACAGCACGAUGCAGUGGUACCUCCACAUGGUGGGAGCGGCGGGUAAGCAAACCUUUGCUCAGGGCGCUGUCGCUGCACGGGAAGCCGAAGACGACGCCGAUGAAGGCAAACACAGCUAUCGUGCAUCGUUUGAGGAUUUUGGCAAGCUUGAGCGCGAGCCAGCGCAGCUGGGCGACAUCUUCGUGCAUCACUCCUGUAUUUCCAUGGAUGGCUUCCGCGUCUUUGUGCAGGGCACAGCGGUGCGCUUCAGUGUGGCCGUGUUGAUGGACACGGUGCAGGCGGUCGACGUCAUCCCACUUGGUCCCGAGUGGGAGAAGCCGCUGUCGCCGGAAGCGCUCGCACAGCCGCCUCUGUACAAGGUCACUCCUACCGCAGCCACUGUGCUUCGCUACCACCACCUGGAUGAGCAGCGCGACGACGACACAGGCAAGAAGUCUGGCGGUGGGCCGCAGAGUCGCGUGGGCGGCAUGUCUGUGCAGUGGACUGACAUGGCUGUUAUUCCCUCACCGGCCAUUCCGAACUCUGUCGAGGGCCAGAGUGAGCUUCUCAUCGUGCGUGUGCCGCCGAAGAUGGGGCCGAUUUCAUCCCAGACAACUGUGACGUCGACGAGGAGUGGGGCGACACCCGGCCUAGCAGCGAUGAAAAGCGCCUCGGCCACCAUCACCGCUACCAGGGGCGGUGUCGACACCUCGCAGAGCACAAAUGCGACGGAGUACGGGGGUGCAAUGCCCAAUACUGUUGGGGCAACUGGCGCUCAGGUGAGCGAUGCAAGCACCAAGGAGCCGAUGUGCACAGGUGCCCAGGAAGCCUUACGCGGUGGCCCGCAGUUGCUGGAUGUUGUCCAUCCAGACAGCAUCGCCGCCACGUUUUUGGCCAUGGACAGAGACGAUCAGAGGGCGUUGCAGGGCAAGCCGGGCGCAGCCGCGAUCACACCGGCCACUCCAGCGCCAUCAAGGAAGUGCAACGCCUUCCGCGAGACGACGAUGAAGGCGACGGAGCCGAGCGCGCCGGCCACAGAGGAGGUGGAAAGCCUGACGAACGGCACGUCCCUGGAGAAUGCGCCCAAGAAUCAGCUGAACCGGGACCCGAGCGCCUUUUCUGGCGGUUGGCUGACGAGUAGCAAAAACGAUCUGACGAGCGGUCAUGGCAACACCGGUGGCACCGGCACGCAGACGAGUGGGCGUGACUCACGCAGCGCCACGAUGACGACUAUGACCGCGACGAACCCGGCGCAGAGCAGCGACCACAACACCGGCAGCCAAAGCCAGGCGCUGCCGAACAGCAUCCAUAAUCUGAAGGACAGCCGCAGCCGCGGGAGUAGCACGAUACCGGCCGACAUGUUUGGCGACUGCAAGGACCUUGUCUUGUCUGGCAACAUGGAUCAGGCAAUCUCUUCCUUUAACGGCUGUGGGGCUGGUCACAAGGCUGACAAGGACCACUGUGAAGGCAGCGAAAGGGCAGCAGGAGGCGCAGCGGCAGCAGCGGACGGUGGCAGCAAUGUGGCAGUUUUGGCACAUCCGAAAACUGCUGCUCGCAGCGCCGCCGCUGCAGCGCAGGGAGCUGCGCUUUUGCCGGCUAACGGUGGCUUCUCUGAACCCCGCUCGCACGACGACGCGGAGUUAUCCGAGGUGCUUGUGCGCUCGCACAGCGGCAGGGACAGCGACGAGGAGGAAAAGAAUUCCAUCAUGACGUCGCCCUCGGGCAACACGAUCCCAGAAUCAAACCUCGGUCCAGCGCCUGACUGGACGGAGGUGUUCAACCUCAAGAUAGCCAACGAGAGGGUGAAGGAUAUCAUGAAGCAUAAGACAGACUUCAAAUUGCUUCCUCACCACAGCGUGAAAAUCAUCGCAGCGGCAGCGACACCGAACCAGAUGAGUGGCGGCGGUUCCUGCUUUGAUGCCGCUGCGCUUGUGCCGAAGGUGGUGCCGCUUUCCGCCGUUUGUGAGCUCGAUAGCAGCUCUUCGCGCGGCGUGGAGGAAGAUGAGGGCGCUGCAGAGGCCAGUGGCUGCCGAAGCGCACCUGGUAACUGCAGUAAUCGCGGCGAUCCAGUCGGUCGUGAGGCGAACCCUUCGUCGUCACAGCCGCCGAUGCGUGGCGACGACAGUGGCCAGACUGGCACAACGCAGCUGACACAAGAUAAGAGCAGCUGCAAUGGCCAUGAGGCUCGCCCGCGAACCGGCAAGCCCAAGAAGAGCAGCAGUGCCGAGGGCCAGCAGAAGCGGCUUAAGGACAAGACGGUGCCUGCAUUCGUGAUGGUGGACGUGGCCAACCUGCCCCCAAAGCUGGCAGCGCAGGUGCCGCGUGGUGUCACCAUCAUCGCGCUGCCCCGCGAGACCGUGAAAGACCUCAAGGUCAAGUCCAUCUCCGUCCUGCGAGAUGCGAGCAGUGAUCCUGCGUCUCCCUGCCUUGCGGAGGCGCAGUCUGCCGUACCCGUUGCCGAGGGGCCUCGAACGUCUGGCAGUAAAGCAUAUGUGCCUUUUCACGGACCGGCGCAAGCAGCUGGAGGGCGGCACGCCUCUUCCUCAUCGGCUGCACGUAGACCGGGUGGCAAUGUGCCGGCGCAUGGCCACGCGGAGAGCACCGACAGCGAAUUCUACCGCAAGCUGGUAGUCUCCCUCGACAAGAAGACGACCUCGAUCUGCAGCGCGCCCGCGCUGGGCGGUAGAAAAUGCGGCGACUCAUGCAGCCCAGAGAAUGACAGAAAUGUGUUUCCGUUUACCCUAGCGCCGCCGCAGAGCCAGCAGGUCUGUCAGCGCUUGCCGAGAACAUCGAUGGGGAGAAAACCCGACUCAAUGAACAAAAGCAGCAGGGGCAGCAUCAACACCUUCAAGACGAGCUCCCACUCGGUGCCGAUGCCUCAGAGCCUCGUCAACGUCCUGUCUUCACCGUGGAUCCAGGACAGCGCAGCGUCGUCGCAGUCGCUUCCAUACCCAAAACAGCAGCAGCCACCGCAGCAUCCGUUUGCGUUGCAACAGCAGCUCCAGCGCAGUACCCCCUCUGGCAGCCAACCGACCUCUAUCCGUACUACCCUCGGCCAUGCAAGCAAUAACAGUCUUUCCCAGCAGCAGUGUGAACCUUCGAAUCCCGUCUUCACGUCUACCAACAGCACGGCAGCCCUGCAGGCGGCGACUCGCAUUGCGACUGGCUCGUAUGCUGCACUCGACAGCAGCGGCCUCUACCCGAGCCCGUGUAUAAGCGCCGGCGUCGGCAUGGGUACUAUCCGGCAGCCGGCCAUGUGGGCCCCCAGCCAUGCUCUGGCGCUUGCCCAGCCCGCCUGUGCGCCUCCACCGCCUCCCGUCUCUUCACCGCAAACCGCACCGAGCGGGACAGCCAUGUCGGCCUCACCGCAGGCUUCAUCUCGGUGGCACCCCUCCCAGGGAAACUGGCGACCCUCGUAGACGAUUGGAGUGGAUGCGUGUACGUACAAUCGCGUCUUCGCGUUUGUGCUGCAGUAGCGCAUUUUCGUUGCAGUUGGCGUUUCGCUGUUGACCGUUUGCCGCCCCUCUUCCUGUUUCCCUUCCCUGCCUUUUUGUUGUUGGUUGUCUUUUUCAAGCCUCGUCUUCGGCCUUCCUUUUCCUAUCGCGUUUCCUGCGCGUCAGCAGAGCGGUUAUGCCGUCUUGCCCUUUGUUUUCGGUAUUGCCCGCUUGCGCUUGUUGCCUGUCGGUGCGGACGGUCGUUGUAGUUUUGUGCGGGCACAGUCUUCAUGUGUGUGCGUGUGUGUAUGCUUGGCUGUUGGGUUCCGAUAAUCUUCUUUUGCUUUCUUUGGUUCGGUGUUGCCAAUCUCUUGUUGGUUCGUCUCUCUCUCUCUGUGUUCUGCAGAUGCGGGAGCCCUCUCUGUCCCGCCUCUCCUUCGAAUGCUUCUCGCUGUUUUCUCAUCCUCGCAUCUCAGCUCAUGUGUUUUGCUUUGCCUUCUCGUUUGCGUUCUCCUCCUUUUUUCCCCCUCGGAGGGUGUAUUGCCCGGUCCUCCACCCUCCGUGGUGCUACGGAACAUCAUCGAAACGCAUGUAGCUCUUCCACACUUCAGCAGUCCUGUUUUUAUCGUUUUGUAUUCAAAGGCUUUUUUUUGUUUGCCUCGGCGUCUUGUUCUUUUUUCUACCUUCACGGCUUUCUGCCUCUGUGUUUUAACUGCCUUCUGCCAGCUUUCUCGAAGUCGACCGCGUACAUAUACAUGCAUAUAUAUAUAUAUGUCUACCUCUAUAUACACAUAAAUCUAUAAAGGUUUCUAUACAAGUAUAUAUAUAUAUAUAUAUAUAUAUGUAUGCUGCGGUUUUUGUCUUGAGGGGGGAGUCUUCUGUCCCUCCCUCUCCUUUUCUUUUUUUUCUUCGUCAUUCGGUGCCUCUCAAUGACGUCCCCCUCAUCUGUAUACGCACAUGCACGAUAUGUCCACCCGUUCACACGCGCUUCUCGGCAAAACGUGCACGACGAUGCCGACCCGUGGGCUGUCAGAAAGCAGAACGCAAACAAAGUAGUCAUGCGGCUGCGGAGCGCAUCUAUAUUCCGUACGUAUGUGUACGGGUGGUGAGGCGGUGUGGUCCUGUCCUGGCACGCUCGUUGAAUGAGGCGCUUUUUUCUUUGUUUCCUAUUCACCGGCACUCCUGCGGAUGCAGCUGUUGACUCCCACUCAUCUUUCUCUCUCCAUUUUGCUUUUACGGUCCAUUUUUGCCUUCUCCAGUGUACGUCUUUGACUCUCUCUCUUCGUUGUGCCGACACUUAUGCGUUCUCUCUCUAUUUAAGGUGGAGGUGCCUGACUGCGUGGCGUGUCUCCGCUCAUCAUCUCUCGUGUCUUCUCUUCUGGACCCUUGCGCUUCCCUUUCCGCUCACCUCCUCGGGUGCUCGAUCCGUCUUUGCGCUACAGGCAAGAAAGAGACCGCCAAACAUGACACAGAAACGAAAAAAUAAUAAAAAAAGGUGGCAUUGACUGCAUCGAGCAAACGCUGAGAAGACGCGAGCUCGCGAGCCAUCAAACAGCGUACAUGUGCAGUCGACAGAAUUGCACGAAGUUGUUGCUUUUUUUUCGUAUUAUUAUUAUUUAGGUUAUUAUUUUGGUUAUUGCUUUGGUUAUUGUUGUGGGUACCCGUCUGUUUUUCGUUUUGCCUUCACCGAUUCAUGGAAGGGAGUGCCAAACCUCUCUUCCUCUCCACAUUUCCUCGUUCCCGGCCUCACCAGUGUUUCGUUUAUUUUGCUUCCAUCUUCACGCGGAUUAUUCCUUUCCUAUGUGGAACGCUUUUUCUCUAUCGCGUUUUUGUGUGUGCGUGUGUGUGCUGACCGUUUUCUCCGGCGCUCGGAAUCUCCCUUCUAGAUGCCGGCGUUGGUUUGCGAUCGGCUGAUUGUCCUUGAUCGCCGCCCGAAUCGAUUCUCCUCUUGCCUGUCGGAGCGGUGGUAGCUUUCUUUUCCCCGUGCGCCGCCUCUGAUAGCGCGCUAGGGGGCCUAAUCAAAUUGAAGUCUGCGUGUGCGAGCUACAUGCACCCACAGCACCCUGCGCGGGGCUCCGUUCAUGAAGGCGAUGCCAUGCAAGAAAAGCUCACGUGAUGCAAUAAGAAGUCUUUCGUUCCGUAGACCCAGCGACGAAAGAAAAAAAGAAGAGAAACAUGGUAACCGUUCCUCUUCCCCUGUUAUUUCCUGUGCUCAUGUGUGCAGCACCUCUGCACCGGUUGACCUUCAUUCAUGGGCACCUGGCACACAGGCGUGCACGCAAAGGAAAAGGAAACCGCACAUCCGAACCCUUCUUUCUACAGGGUCAACUUUAUCAAGCGACUCAGGAGCGAAUACAGGCGUGCGCCCCACCACUUGUAUACGUGGGGCGCACCAGGCAAGGAAAGGAACACGCUUGCCUGUCAUUAAACAGGUGCCCGCUCUUUCCUCUUCUCUCUCUAUAUGAGGUGCCGUGUCUACACUCUUUUGUUUUACGACGUGUGAUGAUUUCUUUUUUUUUGUACAGUUUAUUUUUAUUUUCUGCUUUCCUUUUCGCCUUGAAGGCUUGUUUGUUGUUGCGCCUCGCUCCUUUUUGUUGCCCUUCGCCGAGCGCGUCUCUCUGCAAUGCUUGUGCUGCUGUAUGUUUCCAUCUCUGUUCCUCUUCCAUCCACGCCCUUCCUCUUUUUUUUUCGGGAACCUUGCGCGGUUGGCCUGUGGUAUGUGCGAGAUGUUUAUUUUCGUUUCCACUUGCGUUUUUUUUUGUAUGCUCGGCUGCAUAUCUUAUAUGGGGCGUCUCCCCGUCCUCGCGCGAUUCGUUUCGUUGACAUAUAUGUUCUUUUUUUUUUUCGGGACUUUUUGCGUACUUGUCACCGCUUGUGUGUGCGUCCCUCUUUUUUUUUUCGGCCGCGUGCACAUUUUGUUGUCAGUGCUGAAUCAACCCCCCUCCCACGCUACGCGUCUAUGCACAGGUGCGCGAGCAGCACCACACAGAAACUUUUCAAUGCAGGUAAGUGUAGUGCGGAUGCGCGCACUUUACCUCCGAAAGGCGAUCAUGGGGAAUGCGGUGGCGAGAGGGAGGCGAACGUGCUCAAAGGUGACGCGAAAUUUCUUGAGUUUGAAGAAACGACGGCUUCCGCGGCGAGCCCUCUGCCCACAGGGCGUCUUUGCUGUGACGGUGGGGCCACAUUCCGCCGCGGCAUAUUUUCUUUUGCCGCUUCGCCUGCUGCGCUUCCGUUUCUGUGCUCUCCCGACUCGAUUCUGGUGCAGUCACUCACUGGUUCUCUUUUUGUAUGAUUGCGUGCUUCGCUGCUCACAUGGUCACUUACGUCUGCGCCGCCCGCUCGCUCUCGCUCUCUCGUCGUCUCCCCAUUUAACCAGAAUGGACGUGUCUCUGUCUCCUUUUUUAUAUGUCUUUUCCUGUGUUCUCUGGUCAUGUGUUCUUUUCCAGUGGCGUGCGCACACCCGGCCAACGGUGGAGAGGGAGCGGAUGGCGUUCUUCAUAGCGUCCUUGAACCGCCCUCCUCUCUCGCCUCUCCCUUUGCUUGCUUGUCUCCAUCAAUUCCUUUCCCUUGCUCACGUCAGCGCAGGCAGAGACGCAACGGAAAACACGCGCCGUGGGUGCAUGGCAACCUCCAUCCCCUUCUUAUCUUGCGUCACUCUUGCUUUUCUUUUCUGGUUGAGCAUCUCCUCGGGCACUCUUUUUUUUUUUCUUCCUCCCCCUUUUUUAUGCGCGUGUUUCAGGUAUGAGUGAACUACUCGUGAUGGCUCUCUCAUGUUGUGCCCGGCGGGGCACACUUCUUCCUACGAAGUCGCUCCUUACGUUGAUUCAUGCAGGGCUCGUCGUCCCCAUUCGCAUCAUGGAGCACUUUAGCACGGGUUUUGACUUUUCUCUACUUCGUCCGCAUACAUAUAUGUAUCUAUAUAUAUACGUAUACAUGUAUGUAUACAUAUGCAUAUACGUAUAUAUACAUGUAUGUAUAUGUAUAUGCAUAUGUAUAUAUAUAUUAUAUUCUCUCUUGCUUUGCAACGCCUUGCUUGAGGUUACGACCGCGCUGCCUGCGCUCCCACGUUGUCUCACCUCCUCCGAUCGCUCUUCCCUUUUCAGGCUCGUUCACUACAGCAGCGAAGCGCUCAUCUCUACGCAUACGCACACGCCCCCGCCUUUCGCCUCUCUCUCUCUCCUUCUUUCUGUGCCUCGCUGUGGGCUCUCGUGCACAUGUGAGUCUUUUUUUCCCCGUUUCUUAAAUUAUGCAAGGGCUGGGUGCCGUCGGUGGAUGCUGCACCCUUUUCGCUAUGCUUGAUGACUUCCAGCUUACUGCCUUUUUUUGCUUGUGCGCUUUUACAGUCCCAGGGAAGGGUUCCGUGUGCGCAAGAGGGAGACUCUUGGUCUGUGCGCACACAGGCGACUCGGAGAUGAUACCUCAGAAAAUCGGCGAGGCAUGCAAGGCACCCACACCAGGUGGAGUGGAUGAAGGAAAGCAAGAUACGACGCGAAAAAUGCGGCACGGACGCGAGCGCAAAGGGAUUGAGGAAGAGGAAGAACUGCGUCAUCUCACGUAGAGAUGGACCUCUACGCGUGCAUACGACGUUCCGUUCUCUUCUCCUCUUCCUUUUUCUUCGAACCGCUCCGAGAAUGCCUUCAAAAAAAAAACACGACUGUCUUUUCGUGUGUUCUUCAUUCGUUGACAACUCUCUGUGCCUCACGGCGAUUCCAUCUCUCUCUCUUUUUUUACCUAUGUGUUUUCUGCAAUUCGUUGUUUUGUGGCUUGUUCUCCCGAUUUCCCAUUAAGGUAGGUGGGCACUUGCUUGCUUGCUUGUUUUUUUUUUCAUUUACAUGUCAUGGGUUAGUGGCUUUCGCAUGCCUGUUAUGUUAUGGCUAUGAGUUGUGAGUUGGUAAUCUGGCCCCGCGUUGGGGUCUCGCGCUCUCGCUCUCACUCGCUCUGUGUGUGCGUGUGCUUGUGUGUGCUUGCGUGCUUGUAUACAGACCGAUGCGAUAAAGGCACCGAAAACUGUCAUGCAAGUGUAGAGGAAACCAAACAACAAAAUAGAGAGAAGCGGCAGAGGCAUGCAAUGGCCUAUGGGUGCAUCACCAUCGUCGUUCUCUUCUCUUUGGUGUUGGGGUUGCUUUUCGCUCACCUAUUUUGUGGCGGACACGGAGUGCGCGCGGAAAAAAAAGUGAAGCAGAGAAUCUCUAACAGUGAUUUGUCAUGUAAGGCGCAGAUCGAGACUUCCUUCUCCCCCUCCCCUUUCUCCUUACUUUCUUUUUUCUUCGGCUGAGCGCGUUAGUUGACUCUGCGCUUUCCCGUCUGAGCGAGUAGGGGAGAGGGGGCCUGUGCUAGCCUAGUGCUUGGGUGCGUGCCGCUGCUGUCGGGCAUUUUGUUUCGGUGCGCUCUCUAGGUCGACUCAAGAGACCUCUUUCCCUCUCCUCUCCAACGACCAAAAACAACCAAAACAAUGCUUAACGAGACAAGGAAAAAGAGGCGGGCAACCUUGAGGACUGUCUUUUCUUCUCGACUGCUGUACGUCUCGUGAUUCCGCAGCCCCCCUCAACAACAGAAAAAGAAACAAGCAAGCAAACACUCGUGCCCCAUCUCACGAGCGUUUUCAUGCCGCUUCUUCUUGGCUUUGUUUUGCUCUUCCCUUCUUUGUUUGUUUUCUUUUCGAUCCUGCCCUUUUCGUUUUCAAGAGACCCGUUGGUUGAUGUUGUUGUGGGAUAUGUUUCGUGUCGCGCCGUUCGCGUGAUUGGGUGUGGAUUGGUUGGGGGGGGAGGAGGGCGCGAUGUACGGCGAAGACACAACGACGGUGCGUCUCGUGGGAACUUUGAAGUGCGAAAAAACAAGAAAAGGAGGAGUGGAUGGGUAAACGGCUACACCGUCAAGUGAAUAACAGCGCAGAAAAUAGUGCGAGGCAAAGAAGGCGUGCUUGAUGGGGGAGAGGUCAGAAAAAGAAAAACAAAGAAUGAAAGCUCCGUAGAUAUCGGCUUUCUGUCGCUGUCUUUCACGUGAGCGACGCGGGCGUAUGAGUGGCAAGGCGGAAGGGAAGUGGCCGACCGCGCGACUCGUGCGCUCAUCCGAAAGUCUCCCUUGUCCCGAUGUGCUUUCUGUCUCUCUCUUUAUCCCUCUACGUUGUUUUCCAUGCUCCUGGUUUUACCACCACAGCGUAUCGGGCUGACCUGCGUCCUGUUCUUGUUUUCCGCACCAUUUGCGUGUCUGUGUCUGUGAGCGUGAUUCCGUUGGAGCGUGCUGUGCCUGCUUCCGACGGAGUCGUUCCUGCGACUGACCACUUCUUUGUAUUCCGUUCUUGGCCCCCUUCUCUCUUUUGUUUCUUUCUGAACGGGCUUGAUAGCUUAUUCUACUUUCCCUUCUUUUUUUUCUAUUGUUGGCGUGCAGAGGAAGGCAUGCACGACAACGUCGAUGAAGAGCCAAACAGCAAAGCCACUGACGAGAGCGACGAGGGAUCGUCUCUUCUUUCCCUGCACAGGAAGACCGUGCGCGACGUCUCCGAGAACUGCUUUUCAUGUCUCGUGGUCGGCUUUGUAUCUUCUUUUUUUUCCCUUUAGAUUCUGUCAUGGGUGCUCUGCACACACUAUUCCGCCGUUUUGCCGUUGGCGCUCGACACGCUGUGGGCUGCUCUCUUCUUUGCGCCGCUCAUGCAUCACCGUCGUUGUUGGCACGUUCAUUCCUCCUUUUCUCCAACGGCCUUCUGUUUUUUUUUUUUGCAUUUUGCUUUUCAUUUUAAAGCUUCUUCUUUCCUUUUUCGUUGUCGUCAGCGCGCUCACAUGCGCUGCCGAGGCGCGCGUCGAUGUUACCGCGUGCUCGUAUCCGCAACAACGAGCAAC